UACGUAGGGGGUAAGCGUUGUCCGGAUUUAUUGGGCGUAAAGAGCGUGUAGGCGGCCAAACAGGUCAGCUGUGAAAACUCGAGGCUCAACCUCGAGACGUCGGUUGAAACCGUUUGGCUAGAGUCCGGAAGAGGAGAGUGGAAUUCCCGGUGUAGCGGUGAAAUGCGCAGAUAUCGGGAAGAACACCGAUGGCGAAGGCAGCUCUCUGGGACGGUACUGACGCUGAGACGCGAAAGCGUGGGGAGCGAACAGG
This 253-nucleotide ribosomal RNA is filed under the name uncultured bacterium. RNAcentral describes it as "partial 16S ribosomal RNA". It matches the Rfam family "Bacterial small subunit ribosomal RNA", at positions 524 to 776 of the family's 1533-position model. The record is from RNAcentral.